Molecule: ribosomal RNA, 476 nt
Filed under: uncultured Desulfobulbus sp.
Lineage: Bacteria; Pseudomonadati; Thermodesulfobacteriota; Desulfobulbia; Desulfobulbales; Desulfobulbaceae
Description: bacterial SSU rRNA
Rfam family: Bacterial small subunit ribosomal RNA
Source: RNAcentral
UUGACGGGGCCCGCACAAGCGGUGGAGUAUGUGGUUUAAUUCGAUGCAACGCGAAGAACCUUACCUGGUCUUGACAUCCCGGAGACCCUUAGGAAACUAGGGGUGCUUCCAUCUGGAAGAAUCUGGAGACAGGUGCUGCAUGGCUGUCGUCAGCUCGUGUCGUGAGACGUUGGGUUAAGUCCCGCAACGAGCGCAACCCUUGCCUUUAGUUGCCAGCAGUUCGGCUGGGCACUCUAAAGGGACUGCCGGUGUUAAACCGGAGGAAGGUGGGGAUGACGUCAAGUCCUCAUGGCCUUUAUGACCAGGGCUACACACGUACUACAAUGGCCGAUACAAAGGGCAGCGACACUGCGAGGUGAAGCCAAUCCCAUAAAAUCGGUCUCAGUCCGGAUUGGAGUCUGCAACUCGACUCCAUGAAGUUGGAAUCGCUAGUAAUCGUGGAUCAGCAUGCCACGGUGAAUACGUUCCCGGGCCUU